Molecule: ribosomal RNA, 506 nt
Filed under: uncultured bacterium
Lineage: Bacteria
Description: partial 16S ribosomal RNA
Rfam family: Bacterial small subunit ribosomal RNA
Source: RNAcentral
AGUGAACGCUGGCGGUAGGCCUAACACAUGCAAGUCGAACGGCAGCACAGGAGAGCUUGCUCUCUGGGUGGCGAGUGGCGGACGGGCGAGGAAUACAUCGGAAUCUACUCUGUCGUGGGGGAUAACGUAGGGAAACUUACGCUAAUACCGCAUAUGACCUACGGGUGAAAGCAGGGGAUCUUCGGACCUUGCGCGAUUGAAUGAGCCGAUGUCGGAUUAGCUAGUUGGCGGGGUAAAGGCCCACCAAGGCGACGAUCCGUAGCUGGUCUGAGAGGAUGAUCAGCCACACUGGAACUGAGACACGGUCCAGACUCCUACGGGAGGCAACAGUGGGGAAUAUUGGACAAUGGGCGCAAGCCUGAUCCAGCCAUACCGCGUGGGUGAAGAAGGCCUUCGGGUUGUAAAGCCCUUUUGUUGGGAAAGAAAUCCAGCUGGCUAAUACCCGGUUGGGAUGACGGUACCCAAAGAAUAAGCACCGGCUAACUUCGUGCCAGCCGCCGCAGUAA